Molecule: ribosomal RNA, 461 nt
Filed under: uncultured bacterium
Lineage: Bacteria
Description: bacterial SSU rRNA
Rfam family: Bacterial small subunit ribosomal RNA
Source: RNAcentral
UUGAACGCUGGCGGCAUGCUUUACACAUGCAAGUCGAACGGCAGCGGGGGCUUCGGCCUGCCGGCGAGUGGCGAACGGGUGAGUAACGCGUUGGUGAUCUGCCUCGAAGUGUGGAAUAACGUUCCGAAAGGAACGCUAAUACCGCAUGUGCUCUCGAUUUUUAGAAAGUUGAGAGUAAAGGAUUUAUUCGCUUCGAGAGGAGCCUGCGUCCCAUCAGCUGGUUGGUAGGGUAACGGCCUACCAAGGCUAUGACGGGUAGGGGACCUGAGAGGGUGGCCCGCCACAAUGGAACUGAAACACGGUCCAUACACCUACGGGUGGCAGCAGUAGGGAAUAUUAGAAAUGGACGAAAGUCUGGUCUAGCAACACCGCGUGUGCGAAGAAGGCCUUCGGGUCGUAAAGCACUUUUUGGAAGGAAUAGGAAGGAAUGUACUUCCAGAAUAAGUCUCGGCUAACUACGU